Molecule: long non-coding RNA, 339 nt
Filed under: Phoenix dactylifera (date palm)
Lineage: Eukaryota; Viridiplantae; Streptophyta; Magnoliopsida; Arecales; Arecaceae
Description: long non-coding RNA (PDAC_LNC012297)
Source: RNAcentral
AAAAAUUGAAAAGAAAAAUACCUUUUCUUAUGGAAGGGAGUCUGACGGCUAGGGUUCUUGGCUCCAGCAGAUUUUUAGGUUUAUAAAGGGACAAACUAUGUAAUUAUGUUAUUUUAAUAUGGGUAUUUUUGUCAAAAAUACAGCUUUCCGAAAAAGCUGAAACAGCUUCCUCCCAAAAGCUCCAAAUUGGAGCUUCCUCCCAAAAGCUGUUUUCAGCUUCCCGCAAAAGCUGAAACAGCUUUUUGAAAAAUUUACCAAACACAGUUUUUCAUCUAAAAGUACUUUUGGAGGGUCAGAAAGUGCUUUCUGGCCCUCCAAAAGCUCCCCCAAACAGGGCCU